GUCACAGCAUGCAGGAUCAUUUAGCACUUAACACAGACUAAUUAGUGACCUUUUUUUUUCAAAAGAUGACAGUGUUUUAGUUCGCUCCUUUCAAAUGGAGAAGCGGAUUAUAUAUAUAUAUAUAUAAAUAUAAACGUGUGUGUCGGUCCAUUUUAAGAGAGAAGAUACUUAUUUAUAAAGGAGGUUUCCUUUAUUGACGAGCUUGCU
This 207-nucleotide long non-coding RNA is filed under the name Panax ginseng (ginseng). RNAcentral's name for it is "long non-coding RNA (PGIN_LNC014902)". Lineage: Eukaryota; Viridiplantae; Streptophyta; Magnoliopsida; Apiales; Araliaceae. The record is from RNAcentral.